Non-coding RNA from Rattus norvegicus (Norway rat), 4480 nucleotides. NCBI's taxonomy places the organism in Eukaryota, Metazoa, Chordata, Mammalia, Rodentia, Muridae. The record is from RefSeq and is a predicted model, not a curated record.
UCCCUUGGGAACAUUUGGCAGUAUCUAGAAACAAAGAGUUGUAACUAGUGAAGCCUGUGUUACUACUGCUAAAUACCCCAUAACCUAUAGUCUCAGCCAUGAUGAGGCUGAACAAGCUUGUCAGAGAUAAUCUAAGUCAGUGGUUCUCAACCUACCCCUUUCGGAGUGUAAUGAUUCCUUUAUAGGGAUCACAUAUCAGAUAUUUACAUUACAAUUCAUAACAAGUAGCAACAAAAAUGAUUUUAUAGUUGGGAUCACCAUAGCAUGAGGAACUAUAUUAAAGGGUCACAGCAUUAAGAAGGUUGAGAACCGGGGCUGGGGAUUUAGCUCAUUGGUAGAGCGCUUACCUAGGAAGCGCAAGGCCCUGAGUUCGGUCCCCAGCUCCGAAAAAAAGAACCAAAAAAAAAAAAGAAGGUUGAGAACCACUGGCCCAAGCAGCCUCUCUGGGCUAGGCUGUAGAGGGUACUAAACCUUCCUCUUAGUGUGUCCUUUUAGAGUUUUUUUUUUGCUUUUGGGACCCAGUCAGUAUGCAAAGAAAAACCCAGGCACACAAAGAAUCAAAGACCUGAAUCAUACCUCUUGCAGAAGCCCAAACCACCAACCAGUAACAAUUUACCCCGACAUGUGAGUAUAUCACCUUGGAAUCAGACCUCCCAACUCUCAGUUAAGUCACGUCCCCUUAUACAUGCAGCAGAGAUUAGCCACCUCCUCAGAGGCUGGGCAAUGCAGAUUCGUAAGACAAAUGAAUGGGCUUUCUCUACAAAGUUUGUAAAUGGUCUGUUCCACAAACAAUGGAAAACUGCCAUCUAUCACCUAUCCAGCUAGUUAUCCACCUAUCUAUCCUUUCUCAUUAAUUACAGUGAGAAUUAAAAUUACCUGUUUAAAUGGUGUUGCAAUGUUGAUAAAACAUUCAAGUACUACAUAAUAUUUCCUACAUUGACUGUGUCCUAAAGAGAACAGGUUAGGAGCAGCAAUCAACCCUUCCUGGAUACUUGUGAGUCACAGGUAUCAGUGGUUACCUACAGAGUCAACUGCGACUCUGUCCUGGAGAGCACCUGCAGUUCUUAAGUCGAUAAAAAUCACACUCUAAAAAUACUGGCAUUUUAAAUCACACAGCAAGACCAUCAAAGAGAGUAAUUAUCUGAAAGACCCCAGCGUAGCAGCAGUAACGCCAUUUUGCAAGGCUGUACUUAAGAUGACUGGUUCAGGGAAAGGUUAGAACACUGAGUACACAGCGGCUGCCAAGCAGGAUGUGUUUGGUUGAAGGCCUGGCAACAGGACGACUUCGGUUGAGCACCUGACAAUGAAAAAAAAGCCCCGAGAGAGGUCCCACACCCUGGUGGGGGGCCGAGUCAGUCGUUAUGUUCCAAGAAGGUAGCUAAGAAACUUGCCCCCGGGCUGAACCCUUGGGGGGCCGAGUCAGCCGUUAUGUUUCAGGAAGGUAGCUAGGAAACUUGCCCCCGGGCUAAACCCUUGCCAUAUUAGAAUCCACCAAUUAUAUCCCUGUAACCAUGCAUCUGCUUCUGUAUGCUUGCUUCUGCUCCCCAAAAUCCUAUAAAAGCCCAUCCUUGGUUCCGUGGGGUGCGCCAGUCCCCCGAGUGACUGAAGCGCCCGCAGGUGCCUGUGCCUGUGUAUCCCGACAAUAAACCAAAUCCUCUUGCUGAUUGCAUCCUGUGGUGUCUCGGUCUGGUCUUUGGAGUUGGAGGGUCUCCAUCCCGAGGGAAAGUUCUCCCUGAGAGCUUUUCAUUUGGUGCGUUGGCCGGGAAAGGAGAUCCUCCACCCAGGGACCACCGACCACCCACUGGGAGGUAAGCCGGCCGGCGUCUGUCUGUCUGUCUGAUUUUGUCUCGUUCUGCCUUAUUCUGUCUGUUCUGUGAGCACUCAGCCAGGUCUGUUCUGUGAGCGCUCAGCCAGGUUGUUUGGAAUUUGGGCGGGACGAAGAAGGAGCUGACGAGCUCGGACUUCUCGCCCCGCAGCCCUGGAAGACGUUCCAAGGGUGUUGGGGCCCGACUUUUCGGGGCCCAAUCUGGGAGAGGAGAAAGAUCCGGACUAACGGCACCUCUGUCUGUAUUUUUGGCUUUCAGAGGGCCCCGGACCUUUGCCACCUCCAUCUGACUUUUUGCUUUCAGUUUGGUACCAAAGCCGUGCAGCACGCCUGUCUGUUGUUUGUUUGACUGUUGGUGUUGUUUGUUUUCUCUGUGUUCUAAUCUUCCUUAGAACUAACAUGGGACAGUCCCUAACAACGCCCCUAAGUCUCACUCUUGAUCAUUAGAAAGACGUCCACGACCGGGCACACAACCAGUCCGUCGAGGUUAAAAAAAAAAAAGGAAAAGGGCAGACUCUCUACACAUCCGAGUGGCCCACUUUCGGAGCGGGAUGGCCAGUGAAUGGCACAUUUAAUAAGAUCAUUAUUUUACAGGUUAAAGAUCGGGUCGUCCAUGGACAUCCUGACCAGGUUUCUUAUAUUAUCACUUGAGAGAGUCUCGCCUUAACCCCCCCCCCCGGGCGGAACCCUUCGUGGACCCAAAUUGGCCUCCCCUCAACCCCCAGUCUGUCCCCUCUGCCCCGCCCGGUCCGCCGGCCACGUCUUCCUCUCUCUACCUUUGUGAAAUCAGAGCCUUCUAAGAAACCUGUCCUCCCGGCAGACCCAAACUCCCCUCUCAUAGAUCUUCUCUCUGACAGGCCCGGCUAAAACAGAGGAGGCAGAGCCGCCGGCCAGAUCAGUUGCCGGGCCACAGUCUGAUAAGGGUUUCUCCCCUGUCGCAGGGAGAUUGCGCAAUAAGCGCGAGGUGAUGCCAGAUUCAACCUCCCAGGCUUUCCCACUUAGACAGGGAACCGGUGGCCAGACCCAAUACUGGCCGUUUUCAGCAGCUGACAUUUACAAUUGGAAACAACACAACCCUUCUUUCUCCAAAGAUCCGGUGGCACUCACCGACCUAAUAGAAUCUGUUUUACUUACCCACCAGCCUACUUGGGAUGACUGCCAACAGCUCUUACAGUCCCUCUUAACCUCAAAAAAACAAAAAAACAAAAAAACAAAGAGUGUUCCUAGAGGCCAGAAAGCAUGUUCUGGGAGAUGAUGGGCGUCCCACCCAGCUGCCUGAGGACCAAACUGGGAUUUUAAUACAGCUGAAGGUAAGGGACACCUACGCCUUUAUCGCCAGUUGCUUCUAGCGGGUCUCCGAGGGGCUAUACGACGCCCUACUAAUUUGGCUCAGGUAAAACAGGUAUUACAGGAAGCAGGGGAAAACUCCCUCCACCUUUCUAGAGAGACUUAAGGAGGCCUACCGUAUGUACACUCCCUAUGACCCAGAUGACCCAGGACAAAUGACGAGUGUCUCUAUGUCCUUCAUCUGGCAGGCUGCUCCAGAUAUCAGGACUAAGUUACAGAGGUUAGAAAAUUUGCAGGGCUAUACAUUACAGGAUUUACUUAAAGAAGCUAAAAAGAUUUUUAAUAAGAGAGAGAUAAAAAAAGAAACAAAGAAUUGAGUCGAAUCUUGGCCGCCGUAGUUCAGGGCCAAAAAAGGAAGGGAGAUAGGGGGGAGCUCGAAAGGGGCUGAAGCUGGAUAAAGAUCAAUGUGGCUAUUACAAAGAGAAAGGGCACUGGGCCAGAGAGUGCCCCAAGAAGCCUGGCGGACCCCGAAAGCCUCGACCACGAACCUCCCUCUUGGCUCUAGAUAAAGAUUAGGGAGGUCAGGGCCAGGAGCCCCCCCCCCCUGAGCCCAGGGUAACGCUUAAGUUGGGGGGCAGCCGGUUACUUUCCUGGUAGACACAGGAGCCCAGCAUUCAGUCCUCACUCAAGCUUCAGGACAACUCAGCGACCGGACGGCCUGGGUACAAAGAGCUACUGGUGAGAAACAAUACCGAUGGACUACGGACCGCCGGGUUCAGCUGGCUACUGGUAAGGUGACCCAUUCCUUCUUACAUGUUCCGGACUGCCCGUACCCUCUGCUGGGCCGUGACCUGCUCACCAAACUAAAUUCAUUUUGAGGAAGGAGGGGCCCAAAUAACUGGCCCCCACGGAACUCCCCUUCAAGUUCUAACCCUACAACUAGAGGAUGAAUAUAGACUAUAUGAACCGGGACAGGACAAGCCACAAUCCCUAGAAAUAGACACUUGGGUCACGAAUUUUCCACUGGCUUGGGCAGAGACUGGUGGGAUGGGGUUGGCGCUCCAACAGCCCCCCUUAAUUAUACAGUUAAAGGCCACUACAACUCCAGUCUCCAUAAAACAAUACCCCCUGUCACAUGAAGCUUAUCAAGGUAUAAGGCCUCACAUUACGAGGCUUCUAGAUCAAGGCAUCCUAAUCCCCUGCCGGUCGCCUUAGAAUACGCCUCUUCUGCCUGUAAGAAACCUGGCACUGGAGAUUAUAGGCCAGUACAAGACUUGAGAAAGGUCAACAAGAGGAUAGAAGAUAUUCAUCUGACUGUUCCAAACCCUUACAAUUUGCUCCUGACUUUAGGGUUCAACAUCCCACCCU